RNAcentral lists this ribosomal RNA (511 nucleotides) under uncultured bacterium. Its description in RNAcentral is "bacterial SSU rRNA". It matches the Rfam family "Bacterial small subunit ribosomal RNA", at positions 45 to 507 of the family's 1533-position model. The record is from RNAcentral.
UGCCUAAUACAUGCAAGGUCGAACGUCAUUGUGGUUGAAAUGAUAUGAAGAACUUGUUCAGAUUUGAUUUUCAACAUUGCAAUGAGUGGCGAACGGGUGAAGUAACACGUGGGAAACCUACCUCUUAGCAGGGGAUAACAUUUGGAAACAAAUGCUAAUACUGUAUAAUAAUUAAAACCGCAUGGUUUUAGUUUAAAAGAUGGUCUUGCUAUCACUAAGAGAUGGUCCCGCGGUGUAUUAGUUAGUUGGUGAGGUAAUGGCUCACCAAGACAAUGAUACAUAGCCGAGUUGAGAGACUGACCGGCCACAAUGGGACUGAGACACGGCCCAUACUCCUACGGGAGGCAGCAGUAGGGAAUCUUCCACAAUGGACGAAAGUCUGAUGGAGCAACGCCGCGUGUGUGAUGAAGGGUUUCGGCUCGUAAAACACUGUUGUAAGAGAAGAAUGACAUUGAGAGUAACUGUUCAAUGUGUGACGGUAUCUUACCAGAAAGGAACGGCUAAAUACGUG